UACGGAGGGGGCUAGCGUUGUUCGGAAUCACUGGGCGUAAAGCGCACGUAGGCGGACUCUUAAGUCGGUGGUGAAAUCCUGGAGCUCAACUCCAGAACUGCCUUCGAUACUGGGAGUCUUCGAGUCCGGGAGAGGUGAGUGGAACUGCGAGUGUAGAGGUGAAAUUCGUAGAUAUUCGCAAGAACACCAGUGGCGAAGGCGGCUCACUGGCCCGGUGCUGACGCUGAGGUGCGAAAGCGUGGGGAGCAAACAGG
This 254-nucleotide ribosomal RNA is filed under the name uncultured bacterium. Its description in RNAcentral is "partial 16S ribosomal RNA". It matches the Rfam family "Bacterial small subunit ribosomal RNA", at positions 524 to 776 of the family's 1533-position model. The record is from RNAcentral.